Molecule: ribosomal RNA, 406 nt
Filed under: uncultured bacterium
Lineage: Bacteria
Description: partial 16S ribosomal RNA
Rfam family: Bacterial small subunit ribosomal RNA
Source: RNAcentral
AUUGAACGCUGGCGGCAGGCCUAACACAUGCAAGUCGAGCGAGCGGCGGACGGGUGCGUAAUGUCUGGGAACCUGCCUGAUGGAGGGGGAUAACUACUGGAAACGGUAGCUAAUACCGCAUAACAUCAGAUGUGCCCAGAUGGGAUUAGCUAGUAGGUGGGGUAACUGCUCACCUAGGCGAAGAUCCCUAGCUGGCCUGAGAGGAUGAACAGCCACACUGGAACUGAGACACGGCCCAGACUCCUACGGGAGGCAGCAGUGGGGAAUAUUGCACAAUGGGCGCAAGCCUGAUGCAGCAAGGCCGCGUGGGUGAAGAAGGCCUUCGGGUUGUAAAGCACUUUCAGCGGGGAGGCGUUACCCGCAGAGGAAGCACCGGCUAACUCCGUGCCAGCCGCCGCGGUAAUAC